RNAcentral lists this ribosomal RNA (442 nucleotides) under uncultured bacterium. Its description in RNAcentral is "partial 16S ribosomal RNA". It matches the Rfam family "Bacterial small subunit ribosomal RNA", at positions 338 to 795 of the family's 1533-position model. The record is from RNAcentral.
CCUACGGGAGGCAGCAGUGGGGGAUAUUGCACAAUGGGGGAAACCCUGAUGCAGCGACGCCGCGUGGGCGAAGAAGUAUUUCGGUAUGUAAAGCCCUAUCAGCAGGGAAGAUGAAAUGACGGUACCUGAGGAAGAAGCAACGGCUAAAUACGUACCAGCAGCCGCGGUAAUACGGAUGGUGCAAGCGUUAUCCGGAUUUACUGGGGGUAAAGGGAGCGCAGGCGGCACGGCAAGCCUGAUGUGAAAGCCCGGGGCACAACCGCGGGACUGCAUUGGGAACUAGCCGUCUGGAGUGCCGGAGAGGUAGGCGGAAUUCGUAGUGUAGCGGUGAAAUGCGUAGAUAUUAGGCGGAACACCAGUGGCGAAGGCAGCCUACUGGACGGUGACUGACGCUGAGGCUCGAAAGCGUGGGGAGCAAACAGGAUUAGAUACCCGAGUAGUC